This is a long non-coding RNA of Glossina fuscipes, 1675 nucleotides long. RefSeq lists it as uncharacterized. The record is from RefSeq and is a predicted model, not a curated record. NCBI's taxonomy places the organism in Eukaryota, Metazoa, Arthropoda, Insecta, Diptera, Glossinidae. The transcript is spliced from 2 exons.
AAAUAAAUAAAGAAAACAACAAACAAGCAAGUAACAAGUAAGAAGAAUAGCAUAUUCGACGAAAAAUGUCCAGUUGUUCAGUCACAGCAGCAUUUUCUGAAAAUAAGACGAAGCACCUUUUCAUCGCACGACAUACGAGCAACUUCCAACGAACAUUUUUUUGUUCGCCUUAUCGUUAACUCAGAACAGCUCACGACAAAAAUAGUAGCGCUUACGACAAAAAUAAUAGCGCUUACGACAAAAAUAAUAGAGCGAACUCACGUGUGUAUAUGUAAACGCAAGCAUGUUUGUGCACGAGUUCAAAAGCAUUAGCAAAAAGGUUGACCAACUAAAAACUGUCAGUUUGUUGGGCAGUCAAAGUGUUAUGUUUUUUUUCUGUUUUUUUUCACUAUUGAGUGAGAACGUCAAAUAAGGCAAAUAAGGCAAGCCAUCAAAAAAUCCCAACAAAAAAAAAGUCUUUGUAUUUAUAUACAUAUAUCCGCGCCUGUAGGUGUGCACAUCGCCAUAAGCCGGUUUUUGUACAAAUUUUUGCCAGUUUUUAAUACUGAGCGCAGAGAAUAAAACUUUUUUUUUGUUGUCGUUCUCUAGACCCAUGAGUGGCUUUUUGAAUUUGCGAGAAUAAAAUUUCCUUGUUCUCUAGGCCACCGAGUGGCUUUUUCGAAUUUACUGUUUGCACAAGCUCUCGCGAGAUGAGUAAAUUUUAGAAAAUGUUUAGAUUUAUAUGCAAGCAAUUGUUUUUCUCUCAUUCUUAGGCGCGAGUAAAAAACAUAAUUUUUAUAAUAAGAAAAUUUUCUCUCAGAGCGAAUAAAAUUACAAUAACAACGGUGACAACUGCUGCCAAGUAAUCAAAUGAAAUUUGUCUCAAUCUAUAUUCGGAGAGUGAUUCGCGCGUAAAUUUUUUUUAUAUAUUGCACACUGCAAAGAAAUUUAUUUUGUUUGCGGUAGUGGUAUAUUGUGAUGAUUGUAAAUCGAGAGCAGCAGCAGCUUACAGUUUUCACAUUUUCACAGUCAUUUCCUCGGAUCGGAUAGAUGGUGUGUUUAGGUUUUGUGCAUAUGUGAAUUUUUAUUUCUUCUCCAAUUUUUUCGUGGCUUUGUAGUGUGUAAAAUAUAUAUAUACAUAAAUAUGCAAAAUCCAAAUUAGCAAUGCGCAUACAUAUGCACACAUACAUAUAAUCUGCAUUAAAUGCAUAAACCUAAUCGCCCAUCCAGUAAUAAGUUUACGUGCGUGCGUGCGUGUGCGAAUCUGUGCGGCUUUUAAAAUAAAGAUAAAAAAUUUUACAUUUUGCUUUCUGCGUUUAAAAUUCUUUUAAACAAGAGUAUGUGCAAAAAAAAAAAAAAAGAAGCAAGUGAACUUCUAAAAUUGUAACAUAGAAAAGAAGUAACAGUGAAUUAGUGAAAACCUUUGCAAGAAUGCAAAAACAAGUAUUCUCUUCUUCGUUCUAAGCGAGAGAAUGAACGCGCGCGACAGAGAGAGAAAGAGAGAGUGAGAGAAGAGAGAGAGAGAGAGUGAGGAGAAAUCAAUUAAAUUCAAUCAGCUGUUUUUCGGGUGCAAAUGCAAAUUUCUAUAACAACAACUACAAAGCAACGCAACGUCAAAAAAAAGUCAAUCUGUUUUUGUGAUAAUUAUCAAUGAAGGUUUUUUUGGUAUAAAAAAAAAAAAAUUAAAUAAAAAAAA